Molecule: ribosomal RNA, 820 nt
Filed under: uncultured archaeon
Lineage: Archaea
Description: bacterial SSU rRNA
Rfam family: Archaeal small subunit ribosomal RNA
Source: RNAcentral
GCCCUUACUGCUCAGUAACACGUAGUCAAUCUACCGUAAAGAGGCGGAUACCCUUUGGAAACGAAGGAUAAACCGCCAUAUGCCUGGGGAUCUGGAAGGACUCCUGGUAAAAAAGAGGCGUAAAUUGUAGCGUUUUCGCUUUACGAUGAGACUGCGGCGGAUCAAGCAGAUGGCGGGGUAACGGCCCACCAUACUUAUAACCCGUAGGGGAUGUGGGAGCAAGAGCCCCGAGAAGGGCACUGAGACAAGGGCCCUAGCGCUACGGCGUGCAGCAGUUGCGCAAACUCCACAAUGCGCGUAAGCGUGAUGGGGGGAAUCUGAGUGGUUCACAUUUGUGAACCUUUUGCCAAGUAUAGCAAGCUUGGCGAAUAAGUGCUGGGCAAGAUCCGGUGGCAGCCGCCACGGUAAUACCGGCAGCACAAGUGGUGUCCACGAUUAUUGGGCUUAAAGCGCUCGUAGCCUGCUCGUGCCGUCUCACGUGAAAUAUUGGCGCUCAACGUCAAUGCGUGCGUGAGAUACCCACGAGCUAGGAAGCGGAGUGAGGUAAGGAGUAUUCAUUGGGAAGGGGUCAAAUCCUAUAAUCCUUUGAGGACUAUCUGCGGCGAAGGCGCCUUACCAGAACGCAUUCGACGGUGAGGAGCGAAGGCUAGGAGAACGAAUCGGAUUCGAUACCCGAGUAGCCCUAGCAGUAAAUUAUGCAGACUUGCGUUGCGAAUGUCUUGAACGUUCGCAGUAUCGUAGCGAAAGUGUUAAGUCUGCCGCCUGGGGAGUACGAUCGCAAGAUCAAAACUUAAAGGAAUUGGCGGGGGAGCACAAGGGC